This 53-nucleotide transfer RNA is filed under the name Steinernema litorale. Its description in RNAcentral is "tRNA-Ser". The record is from RNAcentral. Lineage: Eukaryota; Metazoa; Nematoda; Chromadorea; Rhabditida; Steinernematidae.
AAACUAAUUUAGUUGUGUUUUGAAAACAUAACUCGGGUCAAACCCAUAGUUUU